GACCGCUGCCCAUGGAUGGUACUGCCUACCCUUGUGGGAUGCUCCCCUCACCCCCAUCUACCACCAAUCAAGAUGGCAGCAUUUGCCAAUGUUAACUGUCCCCAAACACCCCUGGCUUGUGUCCUGUAGACAGAAACCUACCCAGCACGUGCUGCUGCCACCUCACCAUGCCUGCCCGCCUCACCGUACCUGCCCGCCUCACCAUGCGUCGCAAAGCAAGGGCACAGGUCAGAGAGGAGGAGGACCUCCGAUUUCCUCCUGGCCCUAAGACUGUUUUCAAAGGGAGGAUGUGGUCUGUGAAGAAGUCAGUAACGUCAAGGGAGGAAGGCGCACUUGCUACAGUUGACCUCUCCUCCCUGCUGCUUCUCUCCUUUCUCCCUCCCCCAAACCCCUCUCUCUCAUUCUGAAGGAAGUGUAUUCAGGUGCUACAAUUGCAGCAGUUAAAAAACUUUAAAUCAUUGUCAAUUCAUUUUUCCUAGGGAAAAAGUCAGGAAAGUCAUAACCUCUUCACUCUCUUGUUGACACCAUGUAGAUUGCCCCGGAGGAACUCGCCCUUGUCCGCAACCUAAGAAAAAUGGUGAAAAAUGACUGGCACGGAGGAGCAAUUGUGCUGAGCUUGAGCCAAACCGGGUCUCUCUUCAAGUCCAGAACAGCCUAUUUGCCACAUGAGCUGCUGGGAAAGG
Molecule: long non-coding RNA, 683 nt
Filed under: Rattus norvegicus (Norway rat)
Lineage: Eukaryota; Metazoa; Chordata; Mammalia; Rodentia; Muridae
Description: long non-coding RNA NONRATT016581
Source: RNAcentral